This 492-nucleotide ribosomal RNA is filed under the name uncultured bacterium. Its description in RNAcentral is "partial 16S ribosomal RNA". It matches the Rfam family "Bacterial small subunit ribosomal RNA", at positions 29 to 507 of the family's 1533-position model. The record is from RNAcentral.
AUUGAACGCUGGCGGCAUGCUUUACACAUGCAAGUCGAACGGUAACAGGCCUUCGGGUGCUGACGAGUGGCGAACGGGUGAGUAAUGCAUCGGAACGUACCCAGAGGUGGGGGAUAACGCAGCGAAAGCUGUGCUAAUACCGCAUGUGAUCUGAGGAUGAAAGCGGGGGACCGCGCAGCAAUGUUUGGCCUCGCGCCUUUGGAGCGGCCGAUGUCGGAUUAGCUAGUUGGUGGGGUAAAGGCCUACCAAGGCGACGAUCCGUAGCUGGUCUGAGAGGACGACCAGCCACACUGGGACUGAGACACGGCCCAGACUCCUACGGGAGGCAGCAGUGGGGAAUUUUGGACAAUGGGCGCAAGCCUGAUCCAGCAAUGCCGCGUGCGGGAAGAAGGCCUUCGGGUUGUAAACCGCUUUUGGCAGGAACGAAACGGUGUCCGCUAAUACCGGGCGCUAAUGACGGUACCUGCAGAAAAAGCACCGGCUAACUACGUG